CAUUGAAACACCAAUAUCCAUACAAUCACCGAAGUUAAGCAAUGUCAAGCCUGGCCAGUACCUUGAUGAGUGACCACUUAGGAGUAUCAGGUGCUGCAAG
This is a non-coding RNA of Acanthosepion pharaonis, 100 nucleotides long. Lineage: Eukaryota; Metazoa; Mollusca; Cephalopoda; Sepiida; Sepiidae. The record is from the annotation of a GenBank genome assembly.